This 2259-nucleotide long non-coding RNA is filed under the name Nicotiana tabacum (common tobacco). RNAcentral's name for it is "long non-coding RNA (NTAB_LNC018115)". Lineage: Eukaryota; Viridiplantae; Streptophyta; Magnoliopsida; Solanales; Solanaceae. The record is from RNAcentral.
CUAGUUCUCCCUCAGUGAACUGUCGUGACGGCACCUAGUCUCUACGACUAGGUAAGCCUAACAAAUUGUGGAAAUGAAACGAAAACAUGAAAGCUAACAAUUUAACAGGUAAAUCUAUGGAAGAAGUUUAAAAUGCCUCUCGGCAUAUACAAUAAACACUGUCGAACUGAACAUAAGUACUCCCAAAACCCGAAAUAUCAUGAAUCACAAGCUACAGAAAUACAUAGUGUUUCUAAACUCCAGACAUCUAGCAACCAAGAAAAAUAGGAAGUGUCAUGCCCCGAACCUAGGGAGGCGUGACUGGCACCCGGUGCCGUGUGGCCCGAGCGAACCACUCUGUAACUUAUUCUUUCCUUUUAUAACUAUCACGGGCCAACAUGGCCACAACUCAUAAUAUACAAUUGUAAGUGAGAAAAUGUUAUAUCGAUGAACCAUUGUUCGUAAGACAUGAAUACAUAUGGGCCAACAAGGCCUCUGACAUACUGUAUAUAAUAAACCUGGGUCUACAAAGCCUCUAAGAUUAUUUGGCAUCAAAUAGGAUAGGGUACCGGCCUACCCAUAAGUCCGUAGCAAAAUUCUGACACGAUGACUCAUAGACUCGGCUGCACUCCGAAUGAGGUGGAGUCUUACCGAUCAUUCGCUAAAUGCCAAUCUCGUCUGCUAUGAGGGCUCGUCAAACUGAUUAUUUAUACCUGCAAACAUGAAUGCAGUGUCCCCAAAAAAAGGACGUCAAUACGAAUACUGUACUGAGUAUGUAAAAACCUAAGAACAGAAUAAUUUACAAAUGGUUAGUAACUCGCAUAUGUUCCAUAGGAAAUUGAUAUGAAGAUUAAUAGAGAGAUUGUACAUAACUGAGACGCAAAAAAAAAUCUUUCAAAUGCAUAGAAAUCCAUGUAGAAGUAAAGAGAUUUAUAAGCUAUGCACAAAAGUCAAAACUAUGGAAGAGUUGGCCACAAAACACUUAAUAAUAGAGAAAGAACUCUUCCUAAUAAAUAGAGUACCUUUUUCUUUAUUUUCAUUAGUCUUGAAGCAAGUAAUCUUCUGAGUCUUUUAUUAGAAUGUUGAAAGGGUGGUUAGAAAAUAUCAUAUAAUAGUAAUAUUGGGGAACACCUACAAAAUUCUCUCUUUAAGUAAAUUUAUAAGACGUUCUCUUGGGUGAAUUGACGUGCCAUCUCUAAUUAUGUACCAUAGGAGAUUUCUGUUUAAAUAAAUUCAUGAGAUAUUCUGAUCUUAGUUUAUUAAUAGUGAAAUCUUAAAGGCUUACACCAAAAGAAUGCUCCAAAGGAUCGAUGAGCCUGCUAGCUUUAUUUUGUUCAUGUCGUAUUUAAAGGACAUCGAAGAAACAUGGGGUAAAUGACUAAACUUGUAAGUCUGGAUAGCUCCGUAAAUCACGAAAUAUUUAUAAUGUCAUGUAUAUGCGUGUAAAUGUCAUGCAAUGCAUAGGUCUGUACGUACAUAAUCUCAUCAAGCCUCUAAAGGCAUACCAUCAUAUCAUCUCAGCCACUAUGGCCAAAAUUAUCAACGUAUAUCAGCUGAUCAGGUGAUGAUGCGUAUAACGCCGUAACCUUUUUUUAUAUCUCAAAUUGUUGGAUCAUUAAGAGAAAAAAACUAUUGGUACGAAGUGUUUUCAGAAUAGUAUAAACAUUAACACCUUUAUCAAAUACUUUAAUAGAGACUUAGGAAAAGGCUUAGACAUGCUUGAAUAUCAUUCUACAGGAAUGAAUAACCUAGACAUCCUUAACUGUUAAGAGUAGAACCACUUAUGGAAUAGCAUUACGUUUACGUAUUGUUACUUGAAUCAUGCCAAAAGAAAGAAGGGAUAACUUUAACAUACUCGGACCACUGGACAAUAUCAAGCAGGCCAGUCAGCUUACAACGCUGCAGCUUGUCAGCAAUGACCGAAGUGACUAGUAACUACAAUAACCUCAACCCAUUUUUAUACUAAAAAAAACAUAAUUUCCAGCAAUAUCAUAUUAAAAUCCCUACCUUCAGAUCUUUUCUUGGCUGCCAUUAUCGGUCCGCGAGACCUCCUCAGGGAAAAGAAUCAUUAUUGGAGUAGGUAGAGUAACAGGUCAUGUUCAUAAGAGAGAAAACUCUAGCAGAAGAGCUGCUCCUUAAAUUUAACAGGCUAACUGAAGUGGUUUCCCUGAGAGAUGAGCAACUCUUUAAUGACCAAAGUUUAUAUUUUGGCUCUAUUAAAAGGGUGGCUUCCGUUCAUUUGAAAGUACAAAGCUUUUCUUUCUUCAAAGUGAAUGUAUG